This is a long non-coding RNA of Phragmites australis (common reed), 936 nucleotides long. RefSeq lists it as uncharacterized. The record is from RefSeq and is a predicted model, not a curated record. The transcript is spliced from 2 exons. NCBI's taxonomy places the organism in Eukaryota, Viridiplantae, Streptophyta, Magnoliopsida, Poales, Poaceae.
CUAUCUGCAAUUUGAAGACGGUGAUCUCAUCAGUGGUGUAAACAUACAAAACUUGUCCUAAGUUCCUAACAUUAUAUAAGAAGGCUUUGUGCCUGAGAUGGUGAGGAUUCAAUGAGGAAGGAAUCAAUAUUUAGGAGUACACAAUCACAAGGUAUUAGUUUCAAGAAUACACAAUCACUAGGUAGUCAUGGCUGAUCUAAAGUGGUUGAGCAAGGUGCAUUCUCCGUACUCUAUAGCAACGUGAAACUUAUUACAAAGAAGACUGAACUUUUUGUUCAGUAAGGAUUGCCUCACCUGGUUCAGUACCUUGUGGAUCAUCUGAAGGUGCUGCUGGGCUCUUUAUAGGUGCCAUGACUUGAUCAGUCGAGGGUGGUAUUGGUGGCUCGAUUUUUCCUAAGGAAUCAUAAGGUAUAUUCUGGGUGGAAGCAAGGCCUUGUGGAGCCUGAAUGGUUGGUACUUGAGUUGCCACAGGAGGUUGUGCCUCUUGAUUCUGUAUAGAACUUGUCGCUGCCACAUCACCACUGAUUGGUGUCGAAUCAGGCCCAGUGUUUGAAGUUUGUGCUUGGCUAGGCGGAAGUGUCGUCUUCCUAUCAACACCAGCACUAUGCACAUCAGGAGUAGGUUCUUCACGUGGUUCAGAAGCACGUCCAGCAUGAGUGUGGGCUUGUUCUUGGUUGACAAUAAGUGGGUUCGCUAAAGUGCUUCCAUGAUAAUCAUCAUGAGAGGAUUCCUGAUCCUUACGUAAAGCUUCUCUAGCAUCUGGUGUCAGCCUUGUGACUUGAUGGUCAAAAAUUGUCUCUGGUACAUUCGUUUGAUCAGCGGUGGCAGCAUUUGUCUCUUCUUUCCUUGGUUCAGUAGAGGAAGGUGGUUCUGAAGUAUGAGCUGAUUCUUGACCUGAAAUGAAAUAAAUGUGGCAGUAAUAUUUCUUUUGUGUAA